GUAAAUAGGUGUAAUGAUGCACAGAAAAUUUUGAUUUUUACGGACAAGUUUAAUCCUUGAUUUUACA
Molecule: transfer RNA, 67 nt
Filed under: Empoascanara circumscripta
Lineage: Eukaryota; Metazoa; Arthropoda; Insecta; Hemiptera; Cicadellidae
Description: tRNA-Gln
Source: RNAcentral